Molecule: ribosomal RNA, 350 nt
Filed under: uncultured bacterium
Lineage: Bacteria
Description: bacterial SSU rRNA
Rfam family: Bacterial small subunit ribosomal RNA
Source: RNAcentral
AGCGAACGCUGGCGGCAGGCCUAAUACAUGCAAGUCGAACGGAUCCUUCGGGAUUAGUGGCGGACGGGUGAGUAACACGUGGGAACGUGCCCUUUGGUUCGGAACAACUCAGGGAAACUUGAGCUAAUACCGGAUAAGCCCUUCGGGGUAAGGAUUUAUCGCCAUUGGAGCGGCCCGCGUCUGAUUAGCUAGUUGGUGGGGUAAAGGACCUACCAAGGCGACGAUCAGUAGCUGGUCUGAGAGGAUGAUCAGCCACACUGGGACUGAGACACCGGCCCAGACUCCUACGGGAGGCAGCAGUAGGGAAUCUUGCGCAAUGGGCGAAAGACCUGACGCAGCCAUGCCGCGUG